This 497-nucleotide ribosomal RNA is filed under the name uncultured bacterium. RNAcentral describes it as "partial 16S ribosomal RNA". It matches the Rfam family "Bacterial small subunit ribosomal RNA", at positions 28 to 507 of the family's 1533-position model. The record is from RNAcentral.
GAUGAACGCUGGCGGCGUGCCUAAUACAUGCAAGUCGAGCGAACGGACGAGAAGCUUGCUUCUCUGAUGUUAGCGGCGGACGGGUGAGUAACACGUGGAUAACCUACCUAUAAGACUGGGAUAACUUCGGGAAACCGGAGCUAAUACCGGAUGAUAUUUUGAACCGCAUGGUUCAAAAGUGAAAGACGGUCUUGCUGUCACUUAUAGAUGGAUCCGCGCUGCAUUAGCUAGUUGGUAAGGUAACGGCUUACCAAGGCAACGAUGCAUAGCCGACCCGAGAGGGUGAUCGGCCACACUGGAACUGGGACACGGUCCAGACUCCUACGGGAGGCAGCAGUAGGGAAUCUUCCGCAAUGGGCGAAAGCCUGACGGAGCAACGCCGCGUGAGUGAUGAAGGUCUUCGGAUCGUAAAACUCUGUUAUUAGGGAAGAACAUAUGUGUAAGUAACUGUGCACAUCUUGACGGUACCUAAUCAGAAAGCCACGGCUAACUACGUG